RNAcentral lists this ribosomal RNA (404 nucleotides) under Actinomycetes bacterium. RNAcentral's name for it is "Actinobacteria bacterium partial 16S ribosomal RNA". It matches the Rfam family "Bacterial small subunit ribosomal RNA", at positions 355 to 776 of the family's 1533-position model. Lineage: Bacteria; Bacillati; Actinomycetota; Actinomycetes. The record is from RNAcentral.
GGGGGAAUAUUGGACAAUGGGCGCAAGCCUGAUCCAGCCAUGCCGCGUGAGUGAUGAAGGCCCUAGGGGUGUAAAGCUCUUUCACCGGGGAAGAUAAUGACGGUAACCGGAGAAGAAGCCCCGGCUAACUUCGUGCCAGCAGCCGCGGUAAUACGAAGGGGGCUAGCGUUGUUCGGAUGUACUGGGCGUAAAGCGCACGUAGGCGGACUAUUAAGUCAGGGGUGAAAUCCCGGGGCUCAACCCCGGAACUGCCUUUGAUACUGGUAGUCUUGAGUUCGAGAGAGGUGAGUGGAAUUCCGAGUGUAGAGGUGAAAUUCGUAGAUAUUCGGAGGAACACCAGUGGCGAAGGCGGCUCACUGGCUCGAUACUGACGCUGAGGUGCGAAAGCGUGGGGAGCAAACAGG